CGAUGUUGGGCCAAAUGUGCUACAGUUAGCGUUAAGGAGGUUGGAGACUAUGCAGAGAAGCCUUCAGUGGGCAAGAGGAAGACUGAUCAAUGUAACUGCAGCAGAUCAACUUCUGCGUGACUUGGCUGAAUUGAUUCAGGAGGUCGAACUGUCUACUCAGCAUGGCCAACAAGGCUGUUUUGGAUACCAGGCACCAGUGGUUUUCAACAGAGGUAGAGGUAGAUCCCUUUACCUUAUCACUCGGGAACAGCUUUCAUUCCUGAAGUCAUGUGGAUUCACUGCACCUCAGAUGGCUGAUAUUUUGAAUGUUUCACUUCGUACAAUUCGAAGACGUCUGCGACAGUAUCAUUUCACCCGUGCAUCAAUGUAUGCGGAACUGACUGACAGUGCCUUGGAUGAACAUGUGCAGGACAUUGUCGCUGGCAAUGAACAAAUUGGUCCUGAGGCUGUCAGAGCCUC
Long non-coding RNA from Oreochromis aureus, 459 nucleotides. RefSeq lists it as uncharacterized. The record is from RefSeq and is a predicted model, not a curated record. Lineage: Eukaryota; Metazoa; Chordata; Actinopteri; Cichliformes; Cichlidae. The transcript has 4 exons.